UCGGCGGUGUCCCCAGCAGUACAAUCUGCCCAUGGCUGGGGGAUGUUCUGGGGACGGUGCAGAAACCCAGCCGCUCUCUCAGAACCGGGCUGGCUCUGCAGGUCCAAUACCAACGGCUCGGGUCUGUCACUAAGGGGUGUGUAGAAUCCAGAGGGCAUUCACUCACGUCAGCUCAGCGAUCGCACCAUGGCCCCCUUACCUGACUGGUGAUGUCAGACGGCAUCGGAGAAGGCGGCUUGGAGUACGUGGCAUCCUGGGAGAUGAAGCCAGAGUCGUGGGAGGAGACGCUGGACAGGCGGGUGUUGGCAUUAACCGGCUGCGCCAGGCUGCGGUAGCGAUAGGUGGAACCUGGCAUGGUCUGGGCAUGAAAAGCACUGAUUGUGAAAAGGAGUUCAUCUGACGGAGGAUUAAGCCCCAUGCCACAGAUACUGAUCUAUGCUAAUCCUCAGCGCAAUGCUUUAAUGAUCAAUUAGCAUCUGAUCCACACAGAGUCUUGGCGACAUUUCACCAUGCAUUCUUCUCCCUGUGCCUGAGGACCUGAGCUCAGGCCAGGGAUUUGGUGUUACCAGCUGAGCACUCAAGCACUUACACAAUGAGGUUGUGAGUAUUAAAGCAGAAACUCCUUCACCCCCAUCCCGAGUAUGUUUGUGAAGUCCCCUGCUACAGUCUGAACUUACCUGCACAUGCUGGACUUGCGGGAGCCAGAGCUGCUGGGGGAGGAUGGAGGAGUCUGAUAGGACCAGCUGUAGUCAGAGCCUUUCAGGUCUUUGAUCACCUGCAGGAGGAAGGAGCCAGGCCACGUUAGCAAUGUAGCUUAUCAAAGAGCAGGCGAAGGGGUGACUUGCUCACCGUCUGUAAGUACCUCCAUGGGGAAUAAAUAUGGAAUAGUGGGCUCUUCGUCUAGCAGGGAAAGGAC
Long non-coding RNA from Chelonia mydas (Green sea turtle), 916 nucleotides. RefSeq lists it as uncharacterized. The record is from RefSeq and is a predicted model, not a curated record. The transcript is spliced from 3 exons. NCBI's taxonomy places the organism in Eukaryota, Metazoa, Chordata, Testudines, Cheloniidae.